AAAUCACAAACCCAAAUCUAUAAAAUUUCUCUAAAAAAUGAAAACUUUCCAAAAAUAGCAGCUUUUAAGAAAUUUUUUAAAAAUACAAUAUAUUGAUAAAAAACUCUGAAAGACUAUUCAUAUAUCCACCAAUAUUCUUGUUAUCCUAAUUUCUAAAUCACAAACUCAAAUCUAUAAAAGGUCUCUAGAAAAUGAAAAGUUUCAAAAAAUAGCAGUUAUUAAGAAAAUUAUUUAAAAAUACAAUAUAUUGAUAAAAAACUCUGAAAAAUACUCAUCUAUCCACAAAUAUUCUUUUUAUCCUAAUUUAAAAAUAAACAAACUCAAAUCUAUAAAAGUUGUCUAAGAAAUGAAAACUUUCCAAAAAUAGCAGUUUUUAAGAAAAUUAUUUAAAAAUACAACUUAUUCAUGAAAAAUUCAGAAAGAAUACUAAUCUAAACACAAAUAUUCUUGUUAUUCUAAUUUCUAAAUCACAAACCCAAAUCUAUAAAAUUUCUCUAAAACAUUAAAACUUUCUAAAAAUACCAGCUUUUAAGAAAAUUAUUUAAAAAUACAAUAUAUUGAUGAAAAAUUUUGAAUGAAUAUUCAUAUAUCCACAAAUAUUAUUGUUAUCCUAAUUUUUAAAUCACAAACUGAAAUCUCUAAAAGUUCUCUAAAAAAAUGAAAACAUUACAAAAUAGCAGUUUUUAAGAAAAUUAUUUAAAAAUACAACUUAUUCAUGAAAUACUUUGAAAUCAUACUCAUUUAUCCACAAAUAUAUUUGUUAUCCAAAUUUCUAAAUCACAAACUCAAAUCUAUAAAAGUUCUCUAAAAAAUGAAAACUUUCGAAAAAUAACAGCUUUUAAGAUAAUUAUUUUAAAAAAUAAUAUAAUGAUGAAAAAUUCUGAAAGAAUACUCAUCUAUCCAUAAAUAUAUUUGUUAUCCUAAUGUGUAAAUCACAAACCCAAAUCUAUAAAAUUUCUCUAAAAAAUGAAAACUUUCCAAAAAUAGCAGCUUUUAAGAUAAUUAUUUUAAAAAAUAAUAUAAUGAUGAAAAAUUCUGAAAGAAUACUCAUCUAUCCACAAAUAUAUUUGUUAUCCUAAUUUAAAAAUCACAAACUCAAAACUAUAAAGGUUCUCUAAGAAAUGAAAACUUUCCAAAAAUAGCAAUUUUUAAGAAAAUUAUUUAAAAAUACAGCUUAUUCAUGAAAAAUUCAGAAAGAAUACUAAUCUGAACACAAAUAUUCUUGUUAUCCUAAUUUCUAAAUCACAAACCCAAAUCUAUAAAAGUUUUCUUAAAAAUGAAAACUUUCCAAAAAGAGCAGUUUUUAAGAAAAUUAUUUUAAAAUACAAUAUAUUGAUGAAAAAUUCUGAAAGAAUACUAAUCGAAACACAAAUAUUCUUGUUAUCUUAAUUUCUAAAUCACAAACUCAAAUCUAUAAAAGUUUUCUUAAAAAUGAAAACUUUCCAAAAAUAGCAGUUUUUAAGAAAAUUAUUUAAAAAUACAACUUAUUCAUGAAAAACUCUGAAAGAAUACUCAUCUGUCCACAAAUAUUCUUGUUAUCCUAAUUUCUAAAUCACAAACUCAAAUGAAUAAAAGUUCUCUAAAAAAUGAAAACUUUCCAAAAAUAACAGCUUUUA
Molecule: long non-coding RNA, 1616 nt
Filed under: Brassica napus (rape)
Lineage: Eukaryota; Viridiplantae; Streptophyta; Magnoliopsida; Brassicales; Brassicaceae
Description: long non-coding RNA (BNAP_LNC007568)
Source: RNAcentral